Molecule: transfer RNA, 76 nt
Filed under: Halioglobus japonicus
Lineage: Bacteria; Pseudomonadati; Pseudomonadota; Gammaproteobacteria; Cellvibrionales; Halieaceae
Also listed under: 13 other names
Description: tRNA-Lys
Rfam family: tRNA
About the family: Transfer RNA (tRNA) molecules are approximately 80 nucleotides in length.
Source: RNAcentral
GGGCCGUUAGCUCAGUUGGUAGAGCAGUUGGCUUUUAACCAAUUGGUCGCUGGUUCGAGCCCAGCACGGCCCACCA